RNAcentral lists this transfer-messenger RNA (424 nucleotides) under Candidatus Omnitrophota bacterium. It matches the Rfam family "transfer-messenger RNA". Rfam says of the family: Bacterial tmRNA, also known as 10Sa RNA or SsrA, is named for its dual tRNA and mRNA-like properties. The record is from RNAcentral. Lineage: Bacteria; Pseudomonadati; Candidatus Omnitrophota.
GGGGGUGAAUUGGUCUCGACUUAGGGGGUCGGGUAAGAGCAGCAUGUCGCGGACGCAUGGUUAGCCGCGUUAAUAACCCGUGCACAAUACAAACGCAAACAACCGUUUGUUCAAUGUCAAUUCGGCAAUGCCGGUGACGCCAGCAAUGGCGAAACCAAUGGCAAUGCCGUUUGGCAUGAUGCCAGCCUUCGGUAACUAAUUUACCGAAGCCAUCCUUCGUCUAGCCUACGAGACGAAAGGGUGCACUAGUAGGAUAGUCCUUGCAAGUUAGCCUUUGAGGCCGGGGCAAAAAUUUAAAAGGCUGCGUCUUAAACAAUCAUGUUUACCGGAGUGUUUAAGAUUAAGUUUAAAAGGUAGACUAAACAUGUAGCGGCUUUUAUUCGGUUACUUAAGGACGCCGGUUCGAUUCCGGCCACCUCCACCA